RNAcentral lists this transfer RNA (67 nucleotides) under Salmo salar (Atlantic salmon). It matches the Rfam family "tRNA". Rfam says of the family: Transfer RNA (tRNA) molecules are approximately 80 nucleotides in length. Their secondary structure includes four short double-helical elements and three loops (D, anti-codon, and T loops). The record is from Rfam by way of RNAcentral. Lineage: Eukaryota; Metazoa; Chordata; Actinopteri; Salmoniformes; Salmonidae.
ACCCUAGUGGCCUAAUGGAUAAGGCCUUCUAAGCCAGGGAUUGUGGGUUCGAGUCCCAUCUGGGGUG